GCUUAGCCCUAAACUUAGAUAUUUAACAUACAAAAAUAUCCGCCAGAGAACUACGAGCAAAACGCUUAAAACUCUAAGGACUUGGCGGUACCUCAAAUCCCCCUAGAGGAGCCUGUUCUAUAAUCGAUAAUCCACGAUACACCUCACCAUCCCUUGCUAAUCCCGCCUAUAUACCACCGUCACCAGCUUACCCCAUGAGGGACAUAUAAAGCAAGCAAAAUAGCUAAAAAGCUAAUAAGUCAGGUCAAGGUGUAGCUAACUGAGAUGGAAGAAAUGGGCUACAUUUUCUACCUUAGAAAUUAAUUUUACGGAAGGAAACUAUGAAACUAGUCCUACAAGUAGGAUUUAGCAGUAAACCUGGAUCAGAAUGCCUAGUUUAAGCCGGUCCUGAGGUGCGC
Molecule: ribosomal RNA, 398 nt
Filed under: Orlitia borneensis (Malayan giant turtle)
Lineage: Eukaryota; Metazoa; Chordata; Testudines; Geoemydidae
Description: partial 12S rRNA
Rfam family: Bacterial small subunit ribosomal RNA
Source: RNAcentral